Molecule: ribosomal RNA, 255 nt
Filed under: uncultured bacterium
Lineage: Bacteria
Description: partial 16S ribosomal RNA
Rfam family: Bacterial small subunit ribosomal RNA
Source: RNAcentral
UACGGAGGGUGCGAGCGUUGUCCGGAAUCAUUGGGCGUAAAGGGCGCGUAGGUGGCCACUUCAAGCGUGCGGUGAAAGUCGGGGGCUCAACCCCUGAUCGGCCGUGCGAACUGGGGGGCUGGAGCACUGUAGAGGCAGGCGGAAUUCCGGGUGUGAGCGGUGGAAUGCGCAGAUAUCAGGAGGAACACCGAUGGCGAAGGCAGGUCACUGGGCCGCAACUGACGCUGAGGAGCGAAAGCAUGGGGAGCGAACAGG